This 676-nucleotide long non-coding RNA is filed under the name Equus caballus (horse). RNAcentral describes it as "lncRNA (ENSECAG00000045722.1)". The record is from RNAcentral. Lineage: Eukaryota; Metazoa; Chordata; Mammalia; Perissodactyla; Equidae.
GCUGCCACACAGCAAUCCCCGCAGAAUAAAGAGUUAAGGGAAGUGGGAUUGGAUGCGGCUCUCAGACCAUCAGGUGAUGUCCAUAAGAGAAAGGAUGAGUGCAGUUCCCAGUUUCCAGGCAGGAAGCAGACCACCGUAUGAUUCUGCUGAAGGGAUAUCGUUCCUCCUGUAGCCAGGGCUUUGAGAUUGCUGAACAUCGUGGGUCAUGAAGGUGACUUUGCAAGAAAGGCAUACGGAAUUUCACAUUUGGGAGAUAAUUCAGUGUCAUGAAAAAACUAUCAAAACCAGCAAACAAUGUUCAUUUUCUUCCUGAAUCUGCAAAAUAUAAUCUGACAACAAACUAAGAGCUGGAUAGGAAAGAGUUAAGGAAGCGAGGUCUCCCAACCCCGGAGGAGGAUGAUGCGCUGACCCUGUGUCUGUCUUGCAGCAGGAAUUUGGCAGUAGAAGAGAAGAAAUUUGCUUACCAAAUAGAAAGGUUUGUGGAUGUUGGGAAAUAAUCUUUUUAGUUACCCUUUGCCUGGAGUCUUAUUUUCUCCACAGAGGACUAUCAAUAACCCCGCCUACUUUCCAUACCAUGGUCAUAGGCAGUCUCAACCAUAAACAGAGGAAGGGGAAAGCUUAUGGUAUCCUUGGAAGUUCCCAAAUGUUCAACUGCUCAAAAAUAGCCCCAUUGUGG